Molecule: small nuclear RNA, 107 nt
Organism: Sorex araneus (European shrew)
Lineage: Eukaryota; Metazoa; Chordata; Mammalia; Eulipotyphla; Soricidae
Source: Ensembl
GUGCUCACUUCAUUAGCACACAUACUAAAAAUUGGAAUGAUACAGAAAAUAUUAGCAUGGCCCCUGUGCAAGCAUGACAUGAAAUUCAUGAAACAUUCCAUAUUUUU